GGCGCUGUGGCUUAGUUGGUUAAAGUUCCUGUCUAGUAAACAGGAUAUUCUUGGUUUGAAUCCUAGCAGUGUCU
Silurus meridionalis is the source of this 74-nucleotide non-coding RNA. The record is from the annotation of a RefSeq genome assembly. NCBI's taxonomy places the organism in Eukaryota, Metazoa, Chordata, Actinopteri, Siluriformes, Siluridae.